This 274-nucleotide ribosomal RNA is filed under the name uncultured bacterium. RNAcentral describes it as "partial 16S ribosomal RNA". It matches the Rfam family "Bacterial small subunit ribosomal RNA", at positions 523 to 796 of the family's 1533-position model. The record is from RNAcentral.
AUACGGAGGGUGCAAGCGUUACUCGGAAUCACUGGGCGUAAGGCGCGCGCAGGCGGCUAUUUAAGUUGGAUGUGAAAGCCUACGGCUCAACCGUAGAACUGCAUCCAAAACUAUUAGACUAGAGUGUGGGAGAGGAAGAUGGAAUUAGUUGUGUAGGGGUAAAAUCCGUAGAGAUAACUAGGAAUACCAAAAGCGAAGGCAAUCUUCUGGAACACUACUGACGCUGAGGCGCGAAAGCGUGGGGAGCAAACGGGAUUAGAUACCCUAGUAGUCC